Molecule: transfer RNA, 76 nt
Filed under: Gammaproteobacteria bacterium
Lineage: Bacteria; Pseudomonadati; Pseudomonadota; Gammaproteobacteria
Description: tRNA-Pro
Rfam family: tRNA
About the family: Transfer RNA (tRNA) molecules are approximately 80 nucleotides in length.
Source: RNAcentral
UGGGAUGUAGCGCAGCCUGAAGCUCACUUAACUGGGGGUGAAGUGGUCGUCGGUUCAAAUCCGGCCAUCCCGACCA